Molecule: transfer RNA, 78 nt
Organism: Ovis aries (sheep)
Lineage: Eukaryota; Metazoa; Chordata; Mammalia; Artiodactyla; Bovidae
Rfam family: tRNA
About the family: Transfer RNA (tRNA) molecules are approximately 80 nucleotides in length. Their secondary structure includes four short double-helical elements and three loops (D, anti-codon, and T loops).
Source: Rfam
UCCCUGGUGGUCCAAUGGUUAGGACUUGGCUCUUUCACUGCAGAGCGAGGGGCCCAGGUUCCAUCCUUGGUUGGGGAA